This 374-nucleotide ribosomal RNA is filed under the name uncultured bacterium. RNAcentral's name for it is "bacterial SSU rRNA". It matches the Rfam family "Bacterial small subunit ribosomal RNA", at positions 28 to 413 of the family's 1533-position model. The record is from RNAcentral.
GACGAACGCUUGCGACGUGCCUAAGAAAUGCAAGUCGAACGGGGGAGCAAUCCCUAGUGGCGAACGGUCGCGUAACACGUGGGCAACCUGCCCUGAAGCGGGGGACAACAAGUCGAAAGAUUUGCUAAUACCGCAUGUGUCUCGCUGUGGCAUCACAGAGGAGACAAAGCCGCAAGGCACUUCAGGAUGGGCCCGCGGCCUAUCAGCUUGUUGGUGAGGAACGGCCCACCAAGGCUUCGACGGGUAGCUGGUCUGAGAGGACGAUCAGCCGGAUUGGGACUGAGAUACGGCCCAGACUCCUACGGGGGCAGCAAUUAGGAAUCUUGCACAAUGGGACGAAAGCCUGAUGCAGCGACGUCGCGUGAAGGAUGAAA